CCUACGGGUGGCAGCAGUAGGGAAUAUUGCGCAAUGGGCGAAAGCCUGACGCAGCAACGCCGCGUGAAGGAUGAAGGCUUUCGGGUUGUAAACUUCUUUUAGUAGAGAAGAAAAUGACCGUAACUCACGGAUAAAGAACGGCUAACGUCGUGCCCGCAAGCGUGGGUAUACGGAGGGUGCCAACGUUACUCGGAAUCAUUGGGCGUUAAGAGGUCGUAGGCGGGAUAUCAAGUCAGUUGUGAAAUCCAAGAGCUUAACCAUAGAUCGGCAUUUGAAACUGGUAUGCUUGAGUGUGGGAGAGGUAGGUGGAAUUCUUGGUGUAGGGGUGAAAUGCGUAGAGAUCAAGAGGAACACCGAUGGCGAAGGCGAUUUACUGGAACGUAACUGACGCUGAGGCGCGAAAGCGGGGGUAGCAAACAGGAUUAGAUACCCGUGUAGUC
This 440-nucleotide ribosomal RNA is filed under the name uncultured bacterium. RNAcentral's name for it is "partial 16S ribosomal RNA". It matches the Rfam family "Bacterial small subunit ribosomal RNA", at positions 338 to 795 of the family's 1533-position model. The record is from RNAcentral.